UUGCUUUGGUGGCAUAUAUACUAAAUUAGGAGCUAUGGAGAAGAUUGUCAGAGGCCCUGCCCAAGAAUGACAUGCAGAUUUUUGAACAAUUACCCACUUUA
Small nuclear RNA from Cricetulus griseus (Chinese hamster), 101 nucleotides. The record is from Ensembl. Lineage: Eukaryota; Metazoa; Chordata; Mammalia; Rodentia; Cricetidae.